This 268-nucleotide long non-coding RNA is filed under the name Mytilus galloprovincialis (Mediterranean mussel). The record is from RNAcentral. Lineage: Eukaryota; Metazoa; Mollusca; Bivalvia; Mytilida; Mytilidae.
GCUAUGCAGUACAAUCGUAACUACUCGGCCAUUCUCGCUAUGCAGUACAAUCUUCGUGCAACCAGAAAAGCUGAGUAGUUCCGAUUGAGCUGUGACGUUGUUUAAGUUAUGACGUCAUAUUCAAUGUAAACAAAAGAAACGCUUCCAUCAGGUAACGUUUUUUUCAAAUCAAACAAUUAUUAAAAAUGAAAUUGUAUUGAGUUCCAAUCUUAUAUUUUACUAGACUGAUACAUAUAAUUUUCUUUUCAAAGUCUCAUGCAAACAAGAC